UACGUAGGGUGCGAGCGUUUGUCCGGAAUUACUGGGCGUAAAGAGCUCGUAGGUGGUUUGUCGCGUUUGUUCGUGAAAACCGGGGGCUUAACCCUCGGCGUGCGGGCGAUACGGGCAGACUUGAGUACUGCAGGGGAGACUGGAAUUCCUGGUGUAGCGGUGAAAUGCGCAGAUAUCAGGAGGAACACCGAUGGCGAAGGCAGGUCUCUGGGCAUUAACUGACGCUGAGGCGCGAAAGCGUGGGGGAGCAAACAGG
RNAcentral lists this ribosomal RNA (256 nucleotides) under uncultured bacterium. RNAcentral's name for it is "partial 16S ribosomal RNA". It matches the Rfam family "Bacterial small subunit ribosomal RNA", at positions 524 to 776 of the family's 1533-position model. The record is from RNAcentral.